UACUAAAAUUGGAGCAAUAAACUAAAUUGGAACAAUACAGAAAAGAUUAGCAUGGCCUCUAUGCAAGGAUGACACCCAAAUUCAUCCCCAUAUUUAU
Small nuclear RNA from Rattus norvegicus (Norway rat), 97 nucleotides. Lineage: Eukaryota; Metazoa; Chordata; Mammalia; Rodentia; Muridae. The record is from Ensembl.